RNAcentral lists this ribosomal RNA (843 nucleotides) under Triticum aestivum (bread wheat). RNAcentral's name for it is "partial small subunit ribosomal RNA". Lineage: Eukaryota; Viridiplantae; Streptophyta; Magnoliopsida; Poales; Poaceae. The record is from RNAcentral.
AUGAGAGCACAGAUUGACCCGUGGUUCUCCAAAUACCUCUUGAGAAUUGGCAAUGGAACAGAGGAGACGAUCGGUGAUGAUUAUGUGCAUCUUCCUGAUGAAAUUGUGAUAGGUUACACACCUGGUGACGCACCAGUCAUGAAGCUUAUUGAACACGUGUUCCCGUCUCUUCAUGAGAACGCAUCAUCCGGUGCCUACAUGAGCACACGUGUUAUUCUUUCUACCAAGAAUGAGCACGUGGACGACCUAAAUGCAAAGACGAUUGACAGAUUUCCCGGCCAAGAAAAGGUAUACUAUAGCUUUGAUUCCAUCGAUGAUGAUACACGCAAUAACUACCCAAUUGACUAUCUGAACAACCUCACUCUGAAUGGCUUGCCUCCCCAUAUUUUAAAAGUUAAAGUCAAUUGUCGUGUCAUUCUGCUCCAAAAUCUUGAUCCUAAUAAUGGACUUUGCAAUGGAACGAGAUUGAUGAUUAGAGCUUUCCAAAAUAACGCAAUCGACGCCAAGAUUGUUGGUGGACAACAUGCUAGAAAGAGAGUGUUCAUCCCUAGGAUCUCGAUGGCACCCUCGGAGGAUAUUUCACUUCCUUUCAAGUUGAAGAGGAAGCAAUUCCCUAUUCGUCUGAGUUUUGCAAUAACCAUAAACAAAGCCCAGGGGCAAACCAUCCCAACUGUUGGCAUUUACCUUCCGGAGCCUGUAUUCUCGCACGGCCAGCUUUAUGUUGCACUGCCAAGGGGUGUUUCAAGGCAGACAACUCGGGUUCUGGCAAAGCCAAAUAAAGAAAUAGAUCAAACGGGUAAAAGCACCAAGAACAUUGUGUACAGAGAUGUCUUGGAGGGAUAA